RNAcentral lists this unclassified non-coding RNA (359 nucleotides) under Hevea brasiliensis (rubber tree). The record is from RNAcentral. Lineage: Eukaryota; Viridiplantae; Streptophyta; Magnoliopsida; Malpighiales; Euphorbiaceae.
GAGAUAGCAGAAGCUUACCUCGGUACCUCCGUGAAGAACGCCGUCGUCACCGUUCCUGCUUACUUCAAUGACUCUCAGCGUCAGGCCACCAAGGACGCCGGAGUCAUUGCCGGUCUUAAUGUCAUGCGGAUCAUCAACGAGCCUACAGCUGCUGCUAUUGCUUAUGGACUCGAUAAAAAGGCGAGCAGUGUUGGCGAGAAGAAUGUUCUGAUUUUUGAUCUGGGUGGAGGAACGUUUGAUGUCUCUCUCCUCACAAUUGAGGAAGGCAUUUUCGAGGUGAAGGCAACUGCCGGUGACACCCAUCUCGGCGGUGAGGAUUUCGACAACAGAUUGGUUAACCAUUUUGUUCAAGAAUUCAA